GACGAACCGUGCGAACGUUGUUCGGAAUCACUGGGCUUAAAGGGCGCGUAGGCGGCCCGCCAAGUCAGGGGUGAAAUCCUCCAGCUCAACUGGAGAAGUGCCUUUGAUACUGGUGAGCUCGAGCGAGGUAGGGGCGGGUGGAACUUCCGGUGGAGCGGUGAAAUGCGUUGAUAUCGGAAGGAACGCCGGUGGCGAAAGCGACCCGCUGGACCUCUUCUGACGCUGAGGCGCGAAAGCUAGGGUAGCGAACGGG
Molecule: ribosomal RNA, 253 nt
Filed under: uncultured bacterium
Lineage: Bacteria
Description: partial 16S ribosomal RNA
Rfam family: Bacterial small subunit ribosomal RNA
Source: RNAcentral